Molecule: unclassified non-coding RNA, 1759 nt
Filed under: Hevea brasiliensis (rubber tree)
Lineage: Eukaryota; Viridiplantae; Streptophyta; Magnoliopsida; Malpighiales; Euphorbiaceae
Source: RNAcentral
GUGCAAAUGAAUGGAAACAAAUGUGAACAGUGCAAUCAAAUAUCUCAGUAUGCAACAAGUACAUCCAGUCUAUCUCAUAUACCCCAAAUGCUACCGUAUUCUCAAAUCACCCCCAAAAUACCUUUCUAAUACAAAUAACCCCUACAAAGAUACAAGUAAAUCUAUGUAUUAUACCAAAAAAUUAAAAAAAAAAGGGAAGACAACCUAGAGUGAUAAAUAUGUCGUAUGUUACAUUGUGUGCUGUGCUCUAAGCACUAUAUCCAUUAGUCCCGUUUGUUCCAUUGGCAUGCUUGUCGAAGCUGGCUGUUUUCUUCCUUCUGAUGACUAUGAUCCAUGUGAAAACUUCCAGGAGAGCUGCGACGGCGCCCAAGAAUAUGAUAAUUCCAGUGUAAAUCUUUUUCCAUUUCUUCUCAGGGUCCAAAAUGUCAAAUCCCUCGUAAAUGUUGACGAUGCUCAAAGCGAUGGUUGCAUAUCCAAUAGAAUGGUGGUAGAUGUUCCAGUAUAGUCUAUAUUUAUGAUCUGGCUUUGGCCUCAACAGCAAGGCAAAUACCUGAAGGGUUGCAAAGCAGAAGAGGGUUAUGCCGAUGUUCCUGUGCUUGCUGUACUUGAUUCCGGGAGAAUCGCUGCCGAGUUUAAGACCAGUUCCCCAUCCAGCAACCCCAAUUAUAUAGGCAGAGGAUUGGCAAGCAGCAUGUAGGUAAAACCAUGCUGGAUUUGCUACCUCGAACACCUUCAAGUACCUAGCUAUAAUGAUUCCCAUAGGCAUCAGAACUCCCCAGCUCACUGCGUUUAGUACCCCAUGAACAUUCUUCUUACUGCUUGAUCGGGCAGUUCCGGCAACUGUUGUUCCAGUCUCAAAAUUUAUAGUCCCUACUGAUGCUUUGUUCGCUGAAUCCAUGGAAUGAGCAGUAAAAGUAGCUCCACUCAUGGGACCUUCCUGCCACACCUGGUUGGUCGAUAACAACCUAUCAUCAAGUUGCAGAGUAGCAAAUAUUAUCAUAUCACCACUUGUAUACUCUGCUCUAAGAUUGGAGACCUGAAAACUCAAGUUACUCUGCUGCAUCGACGGGGACAUGCUGUCUAUUGAGGUGGUAUAAGCUGUAGGGAGGCUACUGGUGUUAUGAAAAGCCAGAAGAGCCUGUGACCCCAUCAUCUGUUGGCCGCUAGGGUUGAGAGACCAUACGUACCAAUUGGCAGUGGAUGCCCCAGAUUUGCGAAACGCAAUAUCAGCUGUGCGGUUCGAUGGAUGGUAAUUCCAAUAGAGGAAAGAACUCAACACAGGAAGAUCACUGCAACUGCUAAAUACUUGAUUGCUAGAGAAGGUAUAGCUUGAGCAAGUUUGAGAUAAAGACGAUGGAACACAUAAAGAGAGAAGCAGAAUACAAGAGAACAAAGCAGUUCUCAAAGAUCUAUCCAUGGCUAAUAAUCUGAAUUAUGAUGAAAACAGACGAUAUCGAUUGCAGAGGUCUGAAGGGAUUGAUCCUACCUUAAGGGAACAAGUUUUCAAUAUCUGGGUACGUACUGAAAUUGUUCCCUGAUGAAAGCUGGUUUGAGAGUUGUAGAUCCAGAAACUUGAAAUGGUAUUAUAUAUAGUAGUCUGUGAGGACCAUUCAAGAAGGGAAAGCUGGCUUCUUAGAAGGGUUGUGGUUUUUUUGACUAAUUCCGUCUUGGAGUUUGGAGAAGAAAUUUGGAAAAAGAAUAACAGAAAAAUGCAGUAAGAAAUUAUUUUAACCAUUUAAAGAAUCAAAAAUUGAAAAAG